UACGUAGGGGGCAAGCGUUGUCCGGAAUUAUUGGGCGUAAAGAGCUCGUAGGCGGUCUGUUACGUCCGCUGUGAAAACCCAGGGCUUAACCCUGGGCUUGCAGUGGAUACGGGCAGACUAGAGGCAGGUAGGGGAGAAUGGAAUUCCCGGUGUAGCGGUGAAAUGCGCAGAUAUCGGGAGGAACACCAGUGGCGAAGGCGGCUAUCUGGACGGUUUCUGACGCUAAGACGCGAAAGCGUGGGGAGCAAACAGG
RNAcentral lists this ribosomal RNA (253 nucleotides) under uncultured bacterium. RNAcentral describes it as "partial 16S ribosomal RNA". It matches the Rfam family "Bacterial small subunit ribosomal RNA", at positions 524 to 776 of the family's 1533-position model. The record is from RNAcentral.